CAUAGUGUAGCUUAAAAUAAAGCACCUGGCUUACACCCAGAAGAAUUCAUCAACCAUGAACACUUUGA
RNAcentral lists this transfer RNA (68 nucleotides) under Gerbilliscus leucogaster (Bushveld gerbil). RNAcentral's name for it is "tRNA-Val". It matches the Rfam family "tRNA". Rfam says of the family: Transfer RNA (tRNA) molecules are approximately 80 nucleotides in length. Their secondary structure includes four short double-helical elements and three loops (D, anti-codon, and T loops). The record is from RNAcentral. Lineage: Eukaryota; Metazoa; Chordata; Mammalia; Rodentia; Muridae.